AAUCAACGCUGGCGGCGUGCCUCAGACAUGCAAGUCGAACGAGAAAGUCCCCUUCGGGGGAUGAGUAAAGUGGCGCACGGGUGAGUAACACGUAGGUAAUCUACCUUCGGGUGGGGAAUAACCCAGGGAAACUUGGGCUAACACCGCAUAAUGCAGCGGCACCACAUGGUGACAGUUGUUAAAGCGGGGGAUUUUAGGACCUCGCGCCUGAAGAGGAGCCUGCGGCGGAUUAGCUUGGGUUAAGGUAACGGCUUACCAAGGCGACGAUCCGUAACCGGCCUGAGAGGGCGGUCGGUCACACUGACACUGACAUACGGGUCAGACUCC
RNAcentral lists this ribosomal RNA (327 nucleotides) under uncultured bacterium. Its description in RNAcentral is "bacterial SSU rRNA". It matches the Rfam family "Bacterial small subunit ribosomal RNA", at positions 32 to 339 of the family's 1533-position model. The record is from RNAcentral.